This is a long non-coding RNA of Mesocricetus auratus (golden hamster), 1497 nucleotides long. RefSeq lists it as uncharacterized. The record is from RefSeq and is a predicted model, not a curated record. The transcript has 3 exons. NCBI's taxonomy places the organism in Eukaryota, Metazoa, Chordata, Mammalia, Rodentia, Cricetidae.
GGUAUACAGAAAGAUCCUAUCUGAAAAAAAAGAAAAGUAAGCCAUGGUUGGUGAUGCACAACUUUAAUCCCAGCACUUCAGAGGCAGAGGCCAGUGGAUCCCUGAAGGGGCAGACUGGCUACGUAGAAAGUUCCAAACCAGUCAGGGCUAUAUAGUGAGAUUCCCCUAUCUCAAACAAAACAAAAACAAAACUAGAGGGUUGGCUCAGGUUGCUGCUCUAUAAGAGGACCUGGGUUUGAGUCCCAACACCUACAUGAUGGCUCAUAACCAUCUAAAACUUCAGUUCCAGAUCUGGGAGCCUCCUGGGCUAUCUAGGCCAGAGAUAAGCCUUAAGAUACCCCUUAACUGUUACCCUAGUACCAAGUGGAAACUCUAGAAACCAGUAGCAACCCCACCCCCUAAAAAAGAAAGCAAAAUAGAAAAAUACAGUUUACUUGAGUGAACCACAAUCCAUCAGAAGUCUGAGAUUCAAGCACCUCUGCAGGGAUGUGGUGUCUUGGUGGAGUGUUUCUACUGAUAAGCUGACAAGAAAAGGCCUUGGACUAAAUGAAGUUUUCCAUGGCCCAGAGGUGAAAGGUGUACACAGCACAUGUUAGCCCCAUGCUUGUCAGCUGCAUAAGGGUGUGGAGUAUCACAGUGGGUGGCCUGAAGGCUGCCAGGACACACCAGGUAGAUGCUUACAAUCCCCUUCCAGAAGCAAAGCGGAGAUGUGGGGAUGGAUCCACUGAGUGACCUCUCAUACCACUGAACUGCUCUCUGCUCUUUAGGCACAGCCUGGGAUCAUACCUGCCUUGCAAGAUGACCACAGCAGUUAAAAUCAUUUCUUACCAUGCAGAUGAGGAUAUAGCCUGUACCACAACAGCAGACGGGCUAAGGAGACAACCGAGAAAGGACCACUGUGAAGGAUGGGUAUCGGGUCUGAUACCUAGCACUCGGAUGAAAGGGCCAGCCUGUCCCCAGAACAGGGAGCUCUGGAGGAGACUUGAAGUAAAAUGCUUGAGACUGGGAUGGGUGAGAAGCCUCCUGCCCCCAGAUUCUGCUCUCAGUGAGUACAGACAACGUGUACCGACAGCGUCUGACAGAUGGGCUCUGAACUUCUGAGUGAGCCUCUCGCCCCUGCUUCCCUAAAUCACAGCACGUGACCCCACGUCCAGGGCUAUGGGUUUUUAGAUUCAAGCUAAUUUUUAAAAAGUUCAAGGCCAGCAAGACAUCUCUACAUGUCAGGAGAGGGCCACUCCAAGUGUCCCCUGGUCUCCAUAUGUGUCAGAUACACGCAAACAAAAACAUGCAGCAACUGUUUUAGUAUUUAUUUAUUUAGGGUUUUUUUUUGAGACAGGGUUUCUUUGUGUAGCCCUCUCUGGAACUCACAGAGAGCUGCUAAGACUAAGAGAAUGUAUGUGUUAGGAACAGAGUGAAACCAAAAUGACCGUUAGAAGCCGUCAUAAAAGCCAGGACGUGGUGGUGCACCCCUUAACUUCCAGCACUUACGAGGCAGAG